Molecule: ribosomal RNA, 529 nt
Filed under: uncultured bacterium
Lineage: Bacteria
Description: bacterial SSU rRNA
Rfam family: Bacterial small subunit ribosomal RNA
Source: RNAcentral
UCNUACGGGAGGCAGCAGUGAGGAAUAUUGGACAAUGGGCGAGAGCCUGAUCCAGCCAGCCGCGUGCAGGAAGACGGCCCUAUGGGUUGUAAACUGCUUUUAUACGGGAAGAAACACCCCUUCGUGAAGGGGCUUGACGGUACCGUAAGAAUAAGGAUCGGCUAACUCCGUGCCAGCAGCCGCGGUAAUACGGAGGAUCCAAGCGUUAUCCGGAAUCAUUGGGUUUAAAGGGUCCGUAGGCGGGACAAUAAGUCAGCGGUGAAAGUCUGUGGCUCAACCAUAGAAUUGCCAUUGAUACUGUUGUUCUUGAGUGUUUAUGAAGUGGUUAGAAUAUGUAGUGUAGCGGUGAAAUGCUUAGAUAUUACAUGGAAUACCGAUUGCGAAGGCAGAUCACUAAUAAAAUACUGACGCUGAUGGACGAAAGCGUAGGUAGCGAACAGGAUUAGAUACCCUGGUAGUCUACGCCGUAAACGAUGGUUACUAGCUGUUCGGAAGUAAUUCUGAGUGGCUAAGCGAAAGUGAUAAGUAC